CUUUAGUGUAGAAGUUUCUGCACAGUUCUCUUGGUUAUUAUUUGCAAGUUUAAGGAAAAGAAAAUGAUGAAGGAGAAAGAGAAAACCAUUGCUAUUGUGAAGGUUAUAGACACUUCAAAGUUAAAACUGUUAUCUGGAAGUAUUUUGGAUGUGUAUAGUGGUGAACAAGGAAUU
This 174-nucleotide small RNA is filed under the name Pongo abelii (Sumatran orangutan). RNAcentral's name for it is "processed transcript". Lineage: Eukaryota; Metazoa; Chordata; Mammalia; Primates; Hominidae. The record is from RNAcentral.